This is a long non-coding RNA of Phoenix dactylifera (date palm), 1616 nucleotides long. RefSeq lists it as uncharacterized. The record is from RefSeq and is a predicted model, not a curated record. Lineage: Eukaryota; Viridiplantae; Streptophyta; Magnoliopsida; Arecales; Arecaceae.
GGGUCUCCUUUUUUUCCCUUUUCCUCCUCCUCCUUUGUCUUCUCCUAUUCCUAUUCCGCGUUUUCUUUCCCUCGAUUCAAAAAGUCUCCCAACCCUAGGUCUCCGGUUGGUAAUCUUUUUCAAGAUCAUGAUACCCUUCUUCUCUUUCUUCGUCUUCUCGUCAUGAUUCUUCCAGAUGGGCAAUGUCCGUUAUCUUAUGCUUCUCCCUCUCUUCCAUCCCCCUUUCUUCUUUUCUAAGGGGUUUCUUGCUUCUUUUCUGUUUUUUUGUUUUUUUUUGUUGGUGCCGUGGGGUCUCCAAUAAGAGGCUGUGAUGAUUCCUGGACGAGUGUUUGCUGCGUUCUGAAGCAGAAGACUUCUAUUUCUAAUGGCAAGGCAGUCUUGGAUGGUCUGCUGCUGUACUGCAGGCAGCCGCUUGCUGCCGUCUUGAUUUCGUUGCGGAAGGUCUUGAGACUAAGAACACGGUGCUGUAAUAAAUGGUGCAUGUGAAACCAAGAUUCACCGUAUCGGUAUUGGACUCCGUAUCGGUACCACACUAGCAUAGUGUUGGUACGAUACAGUAUGUAGUUUUUUUGGCGUACCGAGUAUCGGUAUGCCACCGGUACCAGUGUCGGUACCGUCCAAUUUGUUCCGAUAUGGCAUACCAGGGGUGAAACUGUGGGAUGGCCUACAACUAUUUAUAGUGAUAAGACUGGAACAUAUGAUAAUAUGAGUGAUUAAACAAUAGAAGGUGAUGUCAAGGCUGCUGGAGAACACUAAUAAGCUAGCUAUAAACAUCACAACUGAAGCUGAUGUCGGUGAACCAUAUAUAAGCCUGGAAACUGGUGGUGGAGACGCUGGUUGAUGAGGCUGCUAAGUACCCUUGGCCCCGAAUGGUCGGUUGGCCCCACCAACCCCAGCAGCUGCAAUACAGGAAUAUCACCCCACAGAUGUGCGAGGUAUGUCUUCUCAGAACCAAGUCUGUCAACUCUUUAAGUUCAAUUUUUUUUUCACAAUCAUGUUGCUUAUAUGUCUACACAAAUUAUACAUGAUGAUUGACUAUUCUAAUCAUUUCACCAAACAAGAUGUGAUGAAGUGCUCUUUUGUUUGGUGAAAUUGGACAAACUCCAAUCACGUUUUAAUGUAUGUUGGAUGCGGUCUAGCUCCAUUCAUCAUAAUCUAAAUCUCUAGUCUCCAUAUAGCUGGGAAAACCUGGUUACGAACUUAGUGGACGAAGUCUAUAUAGACAAUCCAAAUAUGGAACUACACUUGCUUCAGCUUGUAUCUUUACGAGGCCGAGUACUCGAAAAAACCAUUAGCAAGCUGAUGAUGAUACACGGAACUAGUUUGCUUAUCAAUGGACUUGGCCACCUACUGCUUGGUGCCGGGGGAAGUUUUUUAUCUUGUGGCAGUACUAAAUGUGCAUCGUGGUGAGAGUUGUGGACAUCAGGAACAAUGGUGAGAUGAUUUGUUAUUGCUGAUAGCAUGGAGGAUUACGUUGGCGUCAAUCCAGACCACUAGACUGAGAACAGAAAGUUUCACGUAUGCACUCCCUAUGUAUAGUAAUAUUUUAUAUAAUAUUUUAUAAGAAUGUCAAAGAAAAGGGGAAUAAAUUUUAAAGUCGAUCCUUGGAAAGCUGU